This 253-nucleotide ribosomal RNA is filed under the name uncultured bacterium. RNAcentral describes it as "partial 16S ribosomal RNA". It matches the Rfam family "Bacterial small subunit ribosomal RNA", at positions 524 to 776 of the family's 1533-position model. The record is from RNAcentral.
GACGAACCGUCCGAACGUUAUUCGGAAUCACUGGGCUUAAAGGGUGCGUAGGCGGCGCGGAAAGUUGGGUGUGAAAUCCCUCGGCUUAACCGAGGAACUGCGCCCAAAACUACCGUGCUUGAGGGAGAUAGAGGUGAGCGGAACUUAGGGUGGAGCGGUGAAAUGCGUUGAUAUCCUAAGGAACACCGGUGGCGAAAGCGGCUCACUGGAUCUCUUCUGACGCUGAGGCACGAAAGCUAGGGUAGCGAACGGG